ACCCUUGUGUCAGAGCUGCAGAGGAAAACAGGAGGUGAGACUUGGAGGUAGGAGUUUCGAUCUCAGAACAUCUGCAGGAACCUGAUCUUGGCUGGAGGACCCGAUAUGGAAGGAAUGACAUGUAAGCCGAUUUAAGUCAUCUCUAAUUCCAACACCACGAUGGUGAAUGAUAAUGAUCUCAUGACCUCAGAGAGAAAAAGAAAACAAGGACAGCAGAACAGAAACUCGAAGAUUUAAGAAAGUGAAGUCAUGACGGGAUAUUGAACAAUGUCUGAGGUAAAGGCAAAAGAGAGUCCCAGACAGGUCUGGAGCGCUAUGUUCAACCCAAGGAGGUAUCUGAAUGAACAACAAAGCUGAAAAAGUCAUGCCAAAUUGCGGAUCAACCUGAGUGUGCUAAUGUCUGGGCAUCCCUGCAAGGUGAGCUCCUGAGCCAAGUAUCCAGUGACUUCAUUCUGAAACUCUCCAUGGACCCAAGACCUAGGAUGGGUUGUAAUGGAUGGCUAAGCACACAGCAACAUUUAUGUCACUGGAUGAGUCUGCCUAGCGUUUGAAGUUUAUAAUGAAAACUAGAAUCAGUAACAGGGUGAUUCUCAGUGCUUGCCCCUAACGUUGCCUAGCCAAGAACAUGGAGGAUAAAGGAGAGUUUAAGCUUU
RNAcentral lists this long non-coding RNA (653 nucleotides) under Mus spicilegus (steppe mouse). RNAcentral's name for it is "lncRNA (ENSMSIG00000019667.1)". Lineage: Eukaryota; Metazoa; Chordata; Mammalia; Rodentia; Muridae. The record is from RNAcentral.